AAUCAUGGCGGAAGGCAAAAGUGGAGCCUGCAUGUCACGUGGCCAGAGCAGCAGGAAGAGAGAGAGGGGAGAGAGGGGGAAGUGCCAGUCACUUUUAAACAACCAGAUCUCACAAGAACUCUCUCAAUAUACAACACCAAGGGGGGAUGGUGCUAAACCAUUCAUGAGAAUUUAGCUCCGUGAUCCAAUCACUUCCUAUCAGGCCCCAACUCCAACAUUGGGGAUUAUAAUUUGACAUGCAAUUUGGGCAGGGAAGCAGAUCCAAACCAUGUCAUAAAUGAUUUUGCCCAACUAUAGGCUAUGUAAGUGUCCUGAGCAUGUUUAAGUUAGGCUAGGCUAAGCUAUGAUGCUCAGUAGGUUAGGUGUAUUAAACGCAUUUUCAACUUACUGCAUUUUCAACUUAUUAUGGGUUUACUGGCACAUACCCCCAUUGUAAGUCCAGAAGUAUCUGUAUUUGUACAGGAAAAAAAUAUGGAAGAUUUCUUAUGACCUUCAUUGGUACGUGGGUUGGGGUGUUAGAGGAGCUAUUUACUUUCUGCUAUACACUUUUGUAUUUCAAUAGUUAAUAAGGUCUAUGUAUUAUUUUGAAAUCAGAAAAUAGUCCUGGGGGCUUUCUAUUCUCACUGCUUGACAGGUAUAGAUAUGUUUUUCUUCAUCAGUAACCCAGAUCUCUCAAGUUUCCCCCUGGCUUGGAACACUUAACUCACUAGACUAUUGGGACCCAUGAUUCCAGUACUGUUAAAACUCAAUGCCCUUUGGGUACACUCAAGCACAAAGAUGGAAACAAUAAACAUGGGGAUUCCAAAAAAGGGAAGGGGAGGGGAGGAAGGGUUGAAAACCUACCUAUUGGGUACUAUGUUCACUACCUGAAUCAUUAGAAGUCCAAACCUCAGCAUCAUACAAUAUAUCCAGGUAACAAACCUACACAUGUACCCACUGAAUCUAAAAGAAAAAAACAGGCCGGAUGCAGUAGUUCACACCUGUAAUCCCAGCACUUUGGGAGGCCAAAGCGGGUGGAUCACCUGAGGUCAAGAGUUCAAGGCCAGGCUGGCCAACACAGUGUACUAAAAAUACAAAAAUUAGCCAGGUGUGGUAGCGUGUGCCUGUAAUCCCAGCUACUUCGGAGGCCAAGGCACGAGAAUCGCUUGAAACUGGGAGGCAGAAGUUGCAGUGAGCCGAGAUCGCACCACUGCACUCCAGCCUGGGCAACAGAGCCAGACCCUGUCUCAAAAAAAAGAAAAAGAAAAAAA
This 1250-nucleotide long non-coding RNA is filed under the name Macaca fascicularis (crab-eating macaque). RNAcentral's name for it is "lncRNA (ENSMFAG00000065290.1)". Lineage: Eukaryota; Metazoa; Chordata; Mammalia; Primates; Cercopithecidae. The record is from RNAcentral.